RNAcentral lists this ribosomal RNA (253 nucleotides) under uncultured bacterium. Its description in RNAcentral is "partial 16S ribosomal RNA". It matches the Rfam family "Bacterial small subunit ribosomal RNA", at positions 524 to 776 of the family's 1533-position model. The record is from RNAcentral.
UACAGAGGUGGCAAGCGUUGUUCGGAAUUACUGGGCGUAAAGGGCGCGUAGGCGGCCUUCUAAGUCAGACGUGAAAUCCCCCGGCUUAACCUGGGAACUGCGUCUGAUACUGGGAGGCUUGUGUAUGGGAGAGGGAUGUAGAAUUCCAGGUGUAGCGGUGAAAUGCGUAGAUAUCUGGAGGAAUACCGGUGGCGAAGGCGGCAUCCUGGACCAUAACUGACGCUGAGGCGCGAAAGCUAGGGGAGCAAACGGG